This 490-nucleotide ribosomal RNA is filed under the name uncultured bacterium. RNAcentral describes it as "partial 16S ribosomal RNA". It matches the Rfam family "Bacterial small subunit ribosomal RNA", at positions 30 to 507 of the family's 1533-position model. The record is from RNAcentral.
AUUGAACGCUGGCGGCAGGCCUAACACAUGCAAGUCGAACGGUAACAGGAAGCAGCUUGCUGCUUUGCUGACGAGUGGCGGACGGGUGAGUAAUGUCUGGGAAACUGCCCGAUGGAGGGGGAUAACUACUGGAAACGGUAGCUAAUACCGCAUAACGUCGCAAGACCAAAGAGGGGGACCUUAGGGCCUCUUGCCAUCGGAUGUGCCCAGAUGGGAUUAGCUAGUAGGUGGGGUAACGGCUCACCUAGGCGACGAUCCCUAGCUGGUCUGAGAGGAUGACCAGCCACACGGGAACUGAGACACGGUCCAGACCCCUACGGGAGGCAGCAGUGGGGAAUAUUGCACAAUGGGCGCAAGCCUGAUGCAGCCAUGCCGCGUGUAUGAAGAAGGCCUUCGGGUUGUAAAGUACUUUCAGCGGGGAGGAAGGGAGUAAAGUUAAUACCUUUGCUCAUUGACGUUACCCGCAGAAGAAGCACCGGCUAACUCCGUG